Molecule: ribosomal RNA, 447 nt
Filed under: uncultured bacterium
Lineage: Bacteria
Description: bacterial SSU rRNA
Rfam family: Bacterial small subunit ribosomal RNA
Source: RNAcentral
CUCCAGACUCCUACGGGAGGCAGCAGUGGGGAAUAUUGGGCAAUGGGCGCAAGCCUGACCCAGCAACGCCGCGUGAAGGAAGAAGGCUUUCGGGUUGUAAACUUCUUUUGUCAGGGAAGAGUAGAAGACGGUACCUGACGAAUAAGCCACGGCUAACUACGUGCCAGCAGCCGCGGUAAUACGGAAGAUGCGAGCGUUAUCCGGAUUUAUUGGGUUUAAAGGGUGCGUAGGCGGGCUGUUAAGUCAGCGGUCAAAUGUCGGGGCUCAACCCCGGCCUGCCGUUGAAACUGGCGGCCUCGAGUGGGCGAGAAGUAUGCGGAAUGCGUGGUGUAGCGGUGAAAUGCAUAGAUAUCACGCAGAACUCCGAUUGCGAAGGCAGCAUACCGGCGCCCGACUGACGCUGAGGCACGAAAGCGUGGGUAUCGAACAGGAUUAGAUACCCGAGUA